UACGGAGGGUGCAAGCGUUAUCCGGAUUCACUGGGUUUAAAGGGAGCGUAGGUGGACUGAUAAGUCAGUGGUGAAAUCUCCGAGCUUAACUCGGAAAUUGCCAUUGAUACUGUUGGUCUUGAGUAUAGUUGCCGUUGGCGGAAUAUGACAUGUAGUGGUGAAAUACAUAGAGAUGUCAUAGAACACCGAUUGCGAAGGCAGCUGACGAAACUAUAACUGACACUGAGGCUCGAAAGUGCGGGGAUCAAACAGG
RNAcentral lists this ribosomal RNA (253 nucleotides) under uncultured prokaryote. Its description in RNAcentral is "partial 16S ribosomal RNA". It matches the Rfam family "Bacterial small subunit ribosomal RNA", at positions 524 to 776 of the family's 1533-position model. The record is from RNAcentral.